RNAcentral lists this ribosomal RNA (468 nucleotides) under uncultured bacterium. Its description in RNAcentral is "partial 16S ribosomal RNA". It matches the Rfam family "Bacterial small subunit ribosomal RNA", at positions 28 to 507 of the family's 1533-position model. The record is from RNAcentral.
GACGAACGCUGGCGGCGUGCUUAACACAUGCAAGUCGAACGGAAAGGCCCUGCUUUUGUGGGGUGCUCGAGUGGCGAACGGGUGAGUAACACGUGAGUAACCUGCCCUUGACUUUGGGAUAACUUCAGGAAACUGGGGCUAAUACCGGAUAGGAGCUCCUGCUGCAUGGUGGGGGUUGGAAAGUUUCGGCGGUUGGGGAUGGACUCGCGGCUUAUCAGCUUGUUGGUGGGGUAGUGGCUUACCAAGGCUUUGACGGGUAGCCGGCCUGAGAGGGUGACCGGCCACAUUGGGACUGAGAUACGGCCCAGACUCCUACGGGAGGCAGCAGUGGGGAAUAUUGCACAAUGGGCGGAAGCCUGAUGCAGAAACGCCGCGUGCGGGAUGACGGCCUUCGGGUUGUAAACCGCUUUCGCCUGUGACGAAGCGUGAGUGACGGUAAGGGGUAAAGAAGCACCGGCUAACUACGUG